GAUGAACGCUGGCGGCGUGCCUAAUACAUGCAAGUCGAGCGAACGGACGAGAAGCUUGCUUCUCUGAUGUUAGCGGCGGACGGGUGAGUAACACGUGAAUAACCUACCUAUAAGACUGGGAUAACUUCGGGAAACCGGAGCUAAUACCGGAUAAUAUUUUGAACCGCAUGGUUCAAAAGUGAAAGACGGUCUUGCUGUCACUUCUCGAUGGAUCCGCGCUGCAUUAGCUAGUUGGUAAGGUAACGGCUUACCAAGGCAACGAUGCAUAGCCGACCUGAGAGGGUGAUCGGCCACAUUGGAACUGAGACACGGUCCCGACUCCUACGGGAGGCAGCAGUAGGGAAUCUUCCGCAAUGGGCGAAAGCCUGACGGAGCAACGCCGCGUGAGUGAUGAAGGUCUUCGGAUCGUAAAACUCUGUUAUUAGGGAAGAACAUAUGUGUAAGUAACUGUGCACAUCUUGACGGUACCUAAUCAGAAAGCCACGGCUAACUACGUG
Molecule: ribosomal RNA, 497 nt
Filed under: uncultured bacterium
Lineage: Bacteria
Description: partial 16S ribosomal RNA
Rfam family: Bacterial small subunit ribosomal RNA
Source: RNAcentral